CGAAAGCUCCGGCGUGCAGGAUGAGCCCGCGGCCUAUCAGUUGUUGGUGAGGUAUGGCUCACCAGGCGACGACGGGUAGCCGGCCUGAAGGGCGACCGGCCACACUGGGCUGAGACACGGCCCGACUCCUACGGGAGGCAGCAGUGGGAAUAUUGCACAAUGGGCGAAAGCCGAUGCACGACGCCGCGUAGGGAUGACGGCCUUCGGGUUGUAACCUCUUUCAGCAGGGAAGAAGCGAAGUGACGUACCUGCAGAAGAGCGCCGGCUAACUACGUGCCAGCAGCCGCGUAAUACGUAGGGCGGAGCGUUGUCCGAAUUAUUGGCGUAAAGAGCUCGUAGGCGGCUUGUCACGUCGUUGUGAAAGCCCGGGCUAACCCCGGGUCUGCAGUCGAUCGGGCAGGCUAGAGUUCGAGGGGAGAUCGGAAUUCCUGGGUAGCGGUUAAAUGCGCAGAUAUCAGGAGGAACACGGUGGCGAAGGCGGAUCUCUGGCCGAUAUGCGCUGAGGAGCGAAGCGUGGGGAGCGACCUGGAUUAGAUACCCUGGUAGUCCACGCCGUAACGGGGGCACUGGUGGGGCGACAUUCCACGUCGUCCGUCCGCAGCUAACGCAUUAAUGCCCCGCCUGGGGUACGGCCGCAAGGCUAAAACUCAAGGAAUUGACGGGGCCCGCACAAGCGGCGGAGCAUGUGGCUAAUCGACGCAACGCGAAGAACCUUACCAAGGCUUGACAUAACCGGAAAGCAUCAGAGAUGUGCCCCCUUGUGGUCGGUGUAAGGUGGUGCAUGGCUGUCGUCACUCGUGUCGUGAGAUGUUGGGUUAAGUCCGCAACGACGCAACCCUUGCCCGUGUUGCCAGCAGGCCCUUGUGGUGCUGGGCUCACGGGAGACCCGGGGUCAACUCGGAGGAAGGUGGGACACGUCAAGUCAUCAUGCCCCUUAUGCUUGGGCUGCAACGUGCUACAAGGCCGGUACAAUGAGCUGC
Molecule: ribosomal RNA, 980 nt
Filed under: Streptomyces sp.
Lineage: Bacteria; Bacillati; Actinomycetota; Actinomycetes; Kitasatosporales; Streptomycetaceae
Description: bacterial SSU rRNA
Rfam family: Bacterial small subunit ribosomal RNA
Source: RNAcentral